RNAcentral lists this ribosomal RNA (255 nucleotides) under Clostridium perfringens. RNAcentral describes it as "partial 23S ribosomal RNA". It matches the Rfam family "Bacterial large subunit ribosomal RNA", at positions 1452 to 1707 of the family's 2925-position model. The record is from RNAcentral. Lineage: Bacteria; Bacillati; Bacillota; Clostridia; Eubacteriales; Clostridiaceae.
UCGUUAUUAUCGAUGGCGUGACGCAGGAGGAUAGUGUGUGCUAGCUAUUGGAUGCUAGUCUAAGCGUUUAGGCAGUGAGAGUAGGCAAAUCCGCUCUCAUAAUGCUGAGGCGUGAUGGGGAAGGUUCUACGGAACCGAAGUACAUGAUUCCACGCUGCCAAGAAAAGCGUCUAGAGAGAGAAGUAGUGCCCGUACCGCAAACCGACACAGGUAGGUGAGGAGAGAAUCCUAAGGCCGGCGGAAGAAUUACAGUUA